Heterocephalus glaber (naked mole-rat) is the source of this 181-nucleotide small nuclear RNA. Its record names the gene U2. It matches the Rfam family "U2 spliceosomal RNA". From Rfam's summary of the family: U2 is a small nuclear RNA (snRNA) component of the spliceosome (involved in pre-mRNA splicing). Complementary binding between U2 snRNA (in an area lying towards the 5' end but 3' to hairpin I) and the branchpoint sequence (BPS) of the intron results the bulging out of an unpaired adenosine, on the BPS, which initiates a nucleophilic attack at the intronic 5' splice site, thus starting the first of two transesterification reactions that mediate splicing. Lineage: Eukaryota; Metazoa; Chordata; Mammalia; Rodentia; Bathyergidae. The record is from Ensembl.
AUCGCUUCUUGGCCUUUUGGCUAAGAUCAAGUGUAAAAUCAUACAUAAUUAAGGCAUACAAUAUCUUUUUUGUUUGUUCAUUUUUUGAGACAGGGUCUUGCUGUGUAGUCCCGACUGGCCUUGAACUCGCUAUGUAGUCCAGGGGUUACAGGUGUGUGCCACCACGCCCAGCCCAACAUCG